UGUUUCUUCCUUAAAUUGUUUUAGGUUUUUUUAAGGAAUUUGACCGGAGGAGUGACUGAUUUUGGGAGUAAAAUCAUUUUCCGUUCUAAUGAACUUGGAUAUGGUUUCUUAUAUGAUUUUAUAUAGUUCUAAUUCAGCCAUGAAAUGCGCGUAGUCAAUGUACAAGUACUUACU
Octopus sinensis (East Asian common octopus) is the source of this 174-nucleotide long non-coding RNA. RefSeq lists it as uncharacterized. The transcript has 3 exons. NCBI's taxonomy places the organism in Eukaryota, Metazoa, Mollusca, Cephalopoda, Octopoda, Octopodidae. The record is from RefSeq and is a predicted model, not a curated record.